UUAUGCAGGGAUGAUGUGUGAAAAAGUCUGGACUUUCACUAAUCAACAAUUCAGCAUAGAGUCAGGCCAGAAACAGUACUAAAAUAUUUUUAUUUUUCUGUUGGAACUUCAAAACACAAGACUGGAUGGGACCCCAAGUGGACUAAGUACAAGUGGUUGGUGCCUGUUCAAGAUGAAGAUGGCAACAUCAUCGGGUUGCUGUGUUCCAUUUGUCGGCGCCACAACCAAGCGCAGUGGAACGGCCAGAUGUAUUGGGCGAAGGAUCCAGUGGCAUGCCUGAGGACUGACACCAUCACCAGGCAUGCCCCUUCGUUCCAACACAAACAGGCUGUAUGGAAAGAAAAUGUCCGCCUGUUUUCGGAGAGAAAUGGGGGCAUUGCCCAGGCAUUUCAAUGUGAGGUUUCCCUCCAAAGAGAAGCUCUCACCAAGGCGAUGAAGACGCUGUACUUCCUGGCUAAGGAAGAGAUGGCGCACACGACCAAGUUUUCAUCGCUCGUGGACUUCGCUAGAGACCACCUGGGAUGUGAUGUCUUUUCACAUCUAUCCCAGGGUGAAAAUGCGACGUACACGAGUGAGCGCAUCCUACAGGAGCUCCUACAGGUGUGGAACUGAUCUUUGAAGUUUUUACAUACCUUUGAGUGGAUUUUAAAACUAUCUUGCUUUUUGAUCAACAUUAACACAAUGUACUUCCUCACCACAAACAAACUUAAACAGGUGAUGGCAGACCAGCUACAGGCGGAACACAGCAGGUUACUUGCAGGCUCCACCUACUUCGGUCUGCAGGUGGACGAGACGACAGACAUUACAACAACGAAAGAAUUGGUGCUGCUCACACGGUAAGUCUUAGGUUUUUAUGUUGACUAACAUUCAGUAAACGAUGUAAGCCUACCAAUGUAGAUUGAAACUAGCUGCCAAAAAUGUUUGCUUUAUUGUGAUGCUUUUUUUCCAGGUUGAUCACAGGAGGGGAAGUCAUCAACCGUUUUGCUGGGAUGGUGGAGGUGGAUGACGGCAAAGCCAACACCAUCAGUUCUGCCAUCCUGGCCUGGAUACAGAAGAAGGGCCUGGAUGUGCAAAAACUGAUGGGGCUUGGCAGUGAUGGCGCGCCUGUGAUGACAGGUGGGUAGCAGUUAAUUUCAAAUGAGUGAGUUAUUGUAAAGUAUUCAUUGUAUAUAAAGUUGUCAUUUAAUUUCUCAUGGCACAUGAAAAGUACUCACAAUUUACCUUCAAUGUCUUCCAGGAAAGAGGAAUGGAGUGGCAACACUUCUCAAGGGCCAGAGCAAGCAUCUAGUUGCCAUCCAUUGCAUUGCGCAUAGGCUGGCACUAGCAGCUGGCCAGGCUGGAGAAGCUGUUGCUUACUUCCGAAACAAGUUCAAGCAAAAUCUCGGGGAGCUGUUUCGGUUCU
Molecule: long non-coding RNA, 1402 nt
Filed under: Sparus aurata (gilthead seabream)
Lineage: Eukaryota; Metazoa; Chordata; Actinopteri; Spariformes; Sparidae
Description: lncRNA (ENSSAUG00010026434.1)
Source: RNAcentral